GACACUGCUGCUGCUUGUUUGAUUGCUUGUCACUGCCAAUGCAGAGAGGUUCUUGCUGAGUUCAUCCACUGCGGGGCUUCAUGCAGCUCCUCAAUCUGGAUGGAGUUGGACUCUGCCUGACCUGGAGUCAGGAAAGACUCCUUACUGCUCCCUCCUGGAGGGUGAUCUGCUACCCCUUAAGUGCUGCCUUGAGCAAGAGGCUCACCAGACCCUCCACCUACUAGAGAUUUACGCCCCUCAAAUGUGGUGCCAUCUUCCCGGUCCUGAGAUUCCCUACAUCAAGUAACAGACCCUAACAAUAUGUCCUCCAGUCUAUAAUUUC
Alligator sinensis (Chinese alligator) is the source of this 322-nucleotide long non-coding RNA. RefSeq lists it as uncharacterized. Lineage: Eukaryota; Metazoa; Chordata; Crocodylia; Alligatoridae. The transcript is spliced from 3 exons. The record is from RefSeq and is a predicted model, not a curated record.